AACAUAGGAGUGCAUAUAUAUAUUUUUAAUUAUGAGACAUUACACUUCGCUUUUAUUGGGCUUUCGUUUGUUUAACAUGUCAUUACUUGAAAUUAAAGUUUGAAUCUGUCGAUGGCGUCACCAUGGCGGAACACAUCAAGCCGACGGUCGGCCGUUGGGCACAGAUUUCAAAGUUACUAUCAGAUUUAAUGUGAUUACCUUGACAAAUUAUACAUUAUUAAACAUAUAUAAGACUCAGGUUUCAGUAUUUGACCACUGUUUCUGAGAAACUUAUAGUGACCAUAUUAAUUAAUUUCAGGAGUAUGCAAUAAAAAACAGUCGAUGGCGUUUUUAAUAUGAAUUAUGUGCGUCAUUCAUCCGCUCCCAUUCAUAAAUACCUCUGUCGUCGUCAUGACAGAGCUCGACCAAACAAGUGCUUUCAGCUCAAAAAUAUGCAGAUUCUGAGAAAUAUUUAUUGAUUAUCAUAGGUUUCUGUCAGAUUUCUGUAUAACGUUAGAGGAAUUAUAUUUAUUGAAUACACCAAAAUGGGCCGAUGUAAUCAUAGCGCUGGAUACUCCUCGGAUGUAGUGUGUUUUCAAUACACACUGGCAGCCGGCGGGCGUCGUGUGCACAUAAUUUAUAACGCUACUUCAUAAUAUAUCACGAAGAAGAGCCACAUGACCUGUGACACCUGAAACCACAACAAAGUUUCCAAAGAUCGCUGAAUACUUGCAGAUAACAUGAUUGCAACGAUAUAUGACGCAUUAUUUGUGUUCUUCAAGCCAUGCAGAUAACUUCAUAAUAUAUUACAUUUAUAAUUUGAUAGCCUACACUGUCAACAGAAGUGAAAACGGAUCAAAGAAAUUGAAGUGGUCAGCCUCAGCCCCUCUGUGGGUGUGUUUAUUCUAAAGUGGCCAGCAUUAUUCACUGAAGCUCAGAUCAAGGAGGAGUUUAGACGCAUCACAACAUAUUCCUUGGAGGAGACAUUCACACGGAAGCUUGAGUACUCACAAGGUCUUUUGCGGCUAAUGCGCGCCAAAGGAGAAGUAGCUGGUUGCAAGAUGUGUCCUCUGCUGGACACUUUAAAUGACACACAGAACAUUGAGAAACAUGAGAUGCUGUUGUCUGCUGCCUCAUUAAAGACAAGACUACCUUGGUGAAAAUCAAGAAGAUCUUUUCCAUUACUACCAGGAAUGUGAGGACUACACAGACAAAAACAUGAAGGUGAUUGUGAAGCACAAUGUCAUGGCUGAGGAGGAUCCAGAUUUGUCUAUUGUGAUCGAGGGAAACCAAGUAAUGGAAUCACAGAGUUUAGAUACAACAAAAUGUGAUUGGACUUCUUCCAGUACUGCUCUGAUCUCCUCGCUUCUAGUUUCAUUUUCUACUCUCUCCUCCUCCUAAAACAACAAUGUUUUAUUAUCCAACAUUAUUGAAACAACAUUUGAUAGUCCAGUGAGUUAACAUGUUCAUUACUUGAAAUGUUGUGUAAAGUUAUUGUGCUGCACUGUAUUUUGAGUGUUUCAUAUGAAUUUUUGGAUUAAAAACAUUGAUCUGAUGAA
Molecule: non-coding RNA, 1538 nt
Organism: Pimephales promelas (fathead minnow)
Lineage: Eukaryota; Metazoa; Chordata; Actinopteri; Cypriniformes; Leuciscidae
Source: RefSeq, a predicted model, not a curated record